GUGGGGAAUAUUGGACAAUGGGCGCAAGCCUGAUCCAGCAAUGCCGCGUGUGUGAAGAAGGUCUUCGGAUUGUAAAGCACUUUCGACGGGGACGAUGAUGACGGUACCCGUAGAAGAAGCCCCGGCUAACUUCGUGCCAGCAGCCGCGGUAAUACGAAGGGGGCUAGCGUUGCUCGGAAUGACUGGGCGUAAAGGGCGCGUAGGCGGAUUGUACAGUCAGAUGUGAAAUUCCCGGGCUCAACCUGGGGGCUGCAUUUGAUACGUGCGAUCUUGAGUUCGGAAGAGGGUCGUGGAAUUCCCAGUGUAGAGGUGAAAUUCGUAGAUAUUGGGAAGAACACCGGUGGCGAAGGCGGCGACCUGGUCCGAUACUGACGCUGAGGCGCGAAAGCGUGGGGAGCAAACAGGAUUAGAAACCCCAGUAGUCC
RNAcentral lists this ribosomal RNA (425 nucleotides) under uncultured bacterium. RNAcentral's name for it is "bacterial SSU rRNA". It matches the Rfam family "Bacterial small subunit ribosomal RNA", at positions 354 to 796 of the family's 1533-position model. The record is from RNAcentral.